CAAAAAAUGAAGCGAUGUGAUUCCUGCAGCCGACGAUAAGACACGCCUCCUUAUCCGGAUGCCCCUCCUGAUUGGUCGGCUGCAGAAGGGCGGAGCUGAGUGCGUGCGAAGAGGAAGGCUUGGCGGUGGAGUAGGAGGGGCCAGGCGUCUCAACGAGCUACUGUGAUUGGCUGAAGAUGCUCUGGGAGACCUCAUUCAUCAACGCAUCGGCUCUUGCGGCGAGCUCCGCCCACCAUAGGUGCACGUCUUCGCUUGGCGCGGCGUGUGCUCCUUGCAGGAUGGCGGGAAAGGGCAGUCGACCUUGUAGUUGGACCACUCCUUGGGAAGCAGAAGCGGUGCAGGCAGCAGUCCAGGUACGCAACGUUGUAAAGGCGGUCCAGGCGGAUUGCACACUUGGAGUCCGGUGACACGUCCUCCGCCGCCAUCGCCGAAGCCCUCCAGGCCGCUUUCGCCGACACCCUCCAGGCUCCGCCUCCCAAAGUCCUGACGGGAGGUCGUUCGCUGCGUUUUCACGGCGGCGGGAGGGCAGCGACAUUCGUGUGGACGCCAUCACCUGGAUGGGAGAAAACAAUAAGUCCUCUGACAGAAAAGAAACACCACUCCCCAGAAAGAACAAACCAAGCAGAUGAUUUAGAAUUUCAGUCAAAGUUGCUUGAAAAAUCUGGACCCACUCUUGUGAAAAGUGGAGCUUAGGGAACGACAGGUCCUGCAUCUACCUUCUCAACUGCUCCUCCAGAAUGGGACCUGACGUGGAGCAUCAGGGAAGAGGUGGAGAGGCUGAUGAAGGAGCAGAACAAAACCCUGUCUGCUAACAGCAAAGCAAAGAAACAACAGGCCCUCCAUGGUUCAUCCUCCUCAUCCUCAGUGAAAAACGCAGCGUGUGUUCAGUGAGAGGGAGGGGAGUGGACAUCAGACGGACACAGACGGCAGCUUCUACUACACCAGGGAUGAACAGAGGCAAAAACAGGUCCACCUUCCCUCCUCCUGGUCCCCCACAACAGCCACAGCCUAAAUCUAAAGUCGUCAAGAGCCGAGAUGAGGCCAGAUCUCCAGACUUUCCUGUGAGGGUGAGCAGUGAGCUGAUAUCAUCGGUGCAGUCCUUGGUGGAUGUUCUUUCACAGCAGACACACACUAGCAGAAGUCCCCAUGAAGGAUGUCCUCCAAUCAGCUCCCAGGAACCUUGUCCACAUGUCCGUACCAUGAGAACACAUUCUAGAUUAAGUGUUACAUCAGCUAGAGCGAAACUUCCCUCACACAGGUUCAGCUAUCAUUCCUGGCAUUAAUAUGGAGCAUUAGUACACAAACUAACCUGCAUUUCUAUUAUCUACACCAGUGGUCCUCGAACUCACUUUCAAGCCCCACCAACUUUCAUUGCCCCCCAAAUAUUCCUGACAGCAAUAUUUCAUGUUUUAUGAUGAAUCAAAAAUCAAAACCUAAAUUUAACCAACUAGUACAGUGCCCGUCGGAAAUAUGUAUUCAUUUUGUGGGAGGAGCUUAAGUAGAGUUGUCAAAAUAAUGAGAAUCGAGUGACUAUAAAAUAAAAAAAGUAAUAUAACAAUAAAACA
Gouania willdenowi (blunt-snouted clingfish) is the source of this 1565-nucleotide long non-coding RNA. Lineage: Eukaryota; Metazoa; Chordata; Actinopteri; Blenniiformes; Gobiesocidae. The record is from Ensembl.